AAAAACAUGGAGCAUUGGAUCUGGACUCAUUAAUUAACAUGGCAGAUCCAACAAUCCUUAGGCUGGGAAGCACGAUGGAAUUUAGCCAGAAUAAAACCGGGAUCUAAUUCAAAUUGGACCAAUCAAACCAUUCCAAUUAUCCAACGUGUCUCCAAACUCAGAUGACCUGAGAUAAACUUUGGUCGUCUUCUUUGAUGGUCUCUCAUAGGAUUUUCAUCGUUUGGUAAAUUUAGAACACGAGACCAUCACCAAUGUGACCGCCUCCUCA
This 268-nucleotide long non-coding RNA is filed under the name Lathyrus oleraceus (garden pea). Its description in RNAcentral is "Pisum sativum (pea) long non-coding RNA (PSAT_LNC013091)". The record is from RNAcentral. Lineage: Eukaryota; Viridiplantae; Streptophyta; Magnoliopsida; Fabales; Fabaceae.